RNAcentral lists this ribosomal RNA (587 nucleotides) under uncultured bacterium. RNAcentral describes it as "partial 16S ribosomal RNA". It matches the Rfam family "Bacterial small subunit ribosomal RNA", at positions 355 to 1375 of the family's 1533-position model. The record is from RNAcentral.
UGGGGAAUUUUGGACAAUUGGGCGAAAGCCUGAUCCAGCAAUGCCGCGUGUGUGAAGAAGGCCUUCGGGUUGUAAAGCACUUUUGUCCGGAAAGAAAUCCUUGGCUCUAAUACAGUCGGGGGAUGACGGUACCGGAAGAAUAAGCACCGGCUAACUACGUGCCAGCAGCCGCGGUAAUACGUAGGGUGCAAGCGUUAAUCGGAAUUACUGGGCGUAAAGCGUGCGCAGGCGGUUUGCUAAGACCGAUGUGAAAUCCCCGGGCUCAACCUGGGAACUGCAUUGGUGACUGGCAGGCUAGAGUAUGGCAGAGGGGGGUAGAAUUCCACGUGUAGCAGUGAAAUGCGUAGAGAUGUGGAGGAAUACCGAUGGCGAAGGCAGCCCCCUGGGCCAAUACUGACGCUCAUGCACGAAAGCGUGGGGAGCAAAACAGGAUUAGAUACCCUGGUAGUCCACGCCCUAAACGAUGUCAACUAGUUGUUGGGGAUUCAUUUCCUUAGUAACGUAGCUAACGCGUGAAGUUGACCGCCUGGGGAGUACGGUCGCAAGAUUAAAACUUAAAUGAAUUGACGGGGUCAUAGCUGUUUCCU